This 448-nucleotide long non-coding RNA is filed under the name Anas platyrhynchos platyrhynchos (common mallard). RNAcentral describes it as "lncRNA (ENSAPLG00000022515.1)". The record is from RNAcentral. Lineage: Eukaryota; Metazoa; Chordata; Aves; Anseriformes; Anatidae.
GAUCACGUUUUUUGUAGAAAUUAAGCAGGAAUAGUCAGCAUGGCCAUCUAACAAUAGGGCUACUUGUUCACAUCCAAGGAACUGCUGGCUUGACUCUGUCCUGUUCCCUUCCAGGCACAACAUCAUGGUGAAUUUCUACGGAGGCAAUCAUUGUAACCCCUGGGAGAGAAAGAAGAAAUAAUGGUUAAUCCACUACUGCACAGAGUCUGAAAUGCAGGUGUACAGCAGUGCUGAUAAAAGACCAAAACAGCAUCCUGUCAGAAGGCCAAGAGUUCUAGGAAUUCACCUCUCCAGUUCCUAGAUGGAGAUGUCUGCUUUGUCAGUCAGUAAAGGAAAAAGAAAAGUAAGUAACUGCAGCCUCAAAUGGAAAAGUGCUGUUUGAUGUUGUCACUUCUACUUCCUAGAGGACAGUAUCAACAACUUCAUGAUCUGUUACAGAAGCAGCUCU